RNAcentral lists this ribosomal RNA (244 nucleotides) under uncultured bacterium. RNAcentral's name for it is "partial 16S ribosomal RNA". It matches the Rfam family "Bacterial small subunit ribosomal RNA", at positions 89 to 334 of the family's 1533-position model. The record is from RNAcentral.
UGGCGACCGGCGCACGGGUGAGUAACACGUAUCCAACCUGCCGAUGACUCGGGGAUAGCCUUUCGAAAGAAAGAUUAAUACCCGAUGGCAUAGUUCUUCCGCAUGGUAGAACUAUUAAAGAAUUUCGGUCAUCGAUGGGGAUGCGUUCCAUCAGGUUGUUGGCGGGGUAACGGCCCACCAAGCCUUCGAUGGAUAGGGGUUCUGAGAGGAAGGUCCCCCACAUUGGAACUGAGACACGGUCCAA